UCCAUGAUUACGUGCCAGUUUCUUUUUCGACUUGACAAUAGCAGUCAUAAAUGUUUUAUUACAAUAAUAAAAUACAGACAGUUUAGAUAACAUGUCAAACAUUAACAGGUCGAAUAAGGAAACUUGAACAAAGCUGUGACAGAAGACAGUUGGAAAGAGUCAGAGAAAAGAGAAGACAGCCUCCACAUCAGUACUUUCAGAAACUAAAGGAAGUAGCUGAAUGAGCACGCAGUAGAGUUUAAAAUAGAUUUGCCGUGGUCUGAGUAACACAACAGAACAUUCAGUGUUUGCAGCAAGGAGUUAUUAUGGCUAAACUUGAAGAGGAGCUCUUUAAAACUCUACAAGAUUUAAAAGAAGAAUUCAAGGAGUUCAAGUGGUUCUUGAAUAAAGUUGACAACGGAGAGGGCUUGUCAGGCAUCGCAGCGGCUAAGCUGGAAAAUGCAGGAAGGCACAACACAGUGGAUCUAAUGGUAGAGAAGUAUCAGGGUCCUGAAGCCCUGAAGGUAUGAGGGUUUUAAAAAAGAUCAGCAGGAAUGAUCUGAUGCAGCACUUGCAAGCCUUA
Labrus mixtus (cuckoo wrasse) is the source of this 562-nucleotide long non-coding RNA. RefSeq lists it as uncharacterized. Lineage: Eukaryota; Metazoa; Chordata; Actinopteri; Labriformes; Labridae. The record is from RefSeq and is a predicted model, not a curated record. The transcript has 2 exons.